GUUAUUGGGUAUUACAUCAUUAUUACGCGUCUAAAGAUGGCGCAUCACGGAUGGCAGGAAGCAGCAGAAGCUCCCAGCGUGUCACCAGGUCCUUCAGCUCCAAGCCUUUAUUCUCCUUACUCACUCGAUCCAAACUACCUCCCUCAAGGUCCUGAGUUCAUAUUUCCAGUC
Amphimedon queenslandica is the source of this 171-nucleotide long non-coding RNA. RefSeq lists it as uncharacterized. The transcript has 3 exons. NCBI's taxonomy places the organism in Eukaryota, Metazoa, Porifera, Demospongiae, Haplosclerida, Niphatidae. The record is from RefSeq and is a predicted model, not a curated record.